RNAcentral lists this long non-coding RNA (408 nucleotides) under Physcomitrium patens. Its description in RNAcentral is "long non-coding RNA (PPAT_LNC006103)". Lineage: Eukaryota; Viridiplantae; Streptophyta; Bryopsida; Funariales; Funariaceae. The record is from RNAcentral.
GAAGAAGAGUUUUGAUAAGAGAGAUCUAUGCAAAUUUGUAGGAAGAAGUUCAUUGGGAUUUUUAAGGUGGUGUGAUUCAAGACCAAUUUGAGGCUUUGUGUGUCAUUUCUCGUAUUUUUUUCUUUUUGAUAUGAGAUUUGGAUGGAAAUUGAAUCUUCUUAUUAACUUUUUAAUUAGUCCUAGAAUAUAAGAAAUAGAAUUGUGAUUGAAGAGAUCCAAGUAAAUUUGUAGAAGAAAAAUUUCUAGAAUUUUUAAACAAUGGAAUUUAAGCUUGAUUUGGGAUUUUUUAUGCCAUUUAAUGGAUUUUUAUUUUUUUUAUUCUGAAAUUUUGAAAGAUAUUAGAUCUCAUUAUUAUCUUUUCCAUAAGUCUUGACAUGUAAGAAGAAGAGCUAUGAUAAGAAAGAUUCA